AUGGAGGAGUCGCGAGACCUGCUCAGGGGCUCCUCGUCCUCGUUCUGCUGCUGCUCCUCUGCUCGUCUUUUCCUCUUCUUCUUCUUCUUGCGAGGCUUGUCGGACGCAUGCCGUGGGCUCUCCUGUAGGGGCUGGGGGGGCGGCGGCAGCGAUGACUCCGGUGCUGUAGCAGUCGUCGUCACGGUGAUGGUGCGCUUGAUAGCAAACAAGUCAGAGCCGUUGAGGUCCUGGAUAGAUGGAGGCACGACAGGUCGGCCGUCCUGCCGCCGCCUGUCCCUCUCUCUGUCCCCGUCUCUUCGCUCCUGGCCCUCCUUCGCCUUUUUCCGGCUGCCCCCCCUUCCAUCUUUGCUGCUGGACUUCUCAGGUCUGUCUCUCCUCUCCUUCUUCUGCUUACCCUUCCUGCUGCAGUCUCGCUCGCGUCCCCUUUCCCUUUUCUCCCGUCUGUCCCGGUUGCGCUCUCUAUCCCGGAUCCAGUCCCUGCGUCUGUCCUCGGAGGGGCUGGACGAAGAGUGCUGCCGAUGCUUUUGCCGGUGGGAGGAGAGCCGUGAGCGGGAGUGCGAGGAGCGCUUUGAGCUGUUCUUCCUUCUCCUCUUGCUGCUGUUGCUCCUGCUGCUCCUGCCUCUGUCGUCCUCCCUCCGUUUCUCCUCGGCUCCCCUCCUGACCUCCCGCUCCGAGACCCUCUCUUUCCUCUCCCGGCUUCCCCUGUCCUUUACCGUUCCCUUGUCCUCCUUCUUGCCGUCCCUCUCCUGCUUCCGCUUGCGUUUCUCCCGCUCCUUGGAACUUUUCCCUGACUUCCUGCUUCGCUCCUUUUCUGCAGCAGCUGGGACGGCUGGCGGUGGAGGAAGGGGGGGCGGCGGGGACAGGGACGAUGAGCAACACGACCUGUAUCUUUCCUUUCGGCGGUUCACCAGUUUUCUCCUCAAGUCCCCAACGCCAUCCCUCUCCCUUCCCACUGCCCAGUCGCCUUCUGCUCUUACAGACACAAAGUCCUCGCCGUCCAGAACACGAAGGAUCCUCUCCGGUUUGGGGCACGAGUGUAGGAAGGGACUACCGGGGACAAGCACCCGUUCCCCUGCGCUGUCCCGCCUCCUGUCCCUCUCGCGGUCACCCACGGCUACGAUCUCGCCCUCUUCGAUUUCUGAGUUGUCCGAUUCAUUGUGCUUUCUCUCUCUUCCUCGUUCUCUUGCCCCCUUCCCAUCACCCCCCCGGGCCUGCUCUCUCUCCUCUUGCAGUUUGGCUGAUGGGGAGGAGGCUGAGGGACCCCUGUCCCUCUUCUUCCGUGGUGCUGCUCCUUCCACGUGCAUCUCUGCUGGGAAUAUGGACUUCCUAGACUUGGAACCAGCUACUUCAGAAGACAUUCUAUCACUCUGGGCUCCCAUCCCCCGCUCCCUCCCUCUCUCUGAGACCGGGGACCCCGUGGGGUCAAAUGGAUCAUAUUUGUCACCAUCCUCCUCGUCUACUUCAUUUUCCUCAUCAGUGGCCCUGCCUUCUCUCUCCCCCUCUCCUUCAGUGGGGUGGAACGGGUCGUAUAUCUCAAUGCUGGACCGUCCCGGGGCGGGGCGGGGCAAGGCGGAUGACACAUGGAUGGAGGGAUUGGAAGAAGAAGGAAGUGCGUGA
Long non-coding RNA from Scleropages formosus (Asian bonytongue), 1617 nucleotides. The record is from Ensembl. NCBI's taxonomy places the organism in Eukaryota, Metazoa, Chordata, Actinopteri, Osteoglossiformes, Osteoglossidae.